CAGCAGCCGCGGGAAUAUGUAGGUGGCAAGCGUUGUCCGGAUUUAUUGGGCGUAAAGCGAGCGCAGGCGGUUCCUUAAGUCUGAUGUGAAAGCCCACGGCUCAACCGUGGAAGGUCAUUGGAAACUGGGGAACUUGAGUGCAGAAGAGGAGAGUGGAAUUCCAUGUGUAGCGGUGAAAUGCGUAGAUAUAUGGAGGAACACCAGUGGCGAAGGCGACUCUCUGGUCUGUAACUGACGCUGAGGCUCGAAAGCGUGGGGAGCAAACAGGAUUAGAUACCCCGGUAGUCCCUGUCUCUUAUAC
RNAcentral lists this ribosomal RNA (301 nucleotides) under uncultured bacterium. RNAcentral's name for it is "partial 16S ribosomal RNA". It matches the Rfam family "Bacterial small subunit ribosomal RNA", at positions 509 to 807 of the family's 1533-position model. The record is from RNAcentral.